AGCGAACGCUGGCGGCAUGCUUAACACAUGUAAGUCGCACGGGCGGGGGCGAACUCCGUCAGUGGCGGACGGGUGGAGUAACGCGUAGGAAUCUAUCCUUGGAAUGGGGGACGAACCGUGGGAAACUACGGCUAAUACCGCAUGAUGCCUGAGGGCCAAAGACGAAAGUCGUUUGAGGAGGAGCCUGCGUCUGAUUAGGUAGUUGGUGGGGUAAAGGCCUACCCAAGCCUACGAUCAGUAGCUGGUCUGAGAGGAUGAUCAGCCACAUUGGGACUGAGACACGGCCCAAACUCCUACGGGAGGCAGCAGUGGGGAAUAUUGGACAAUGGGCGCAAGCCUGAUCCAGCAAUGCCGCGUGGGUGAAGAAGGUCUUCGGAUUGUAAAGCCCUUUUGGUCGGGGACGAUGAUGACGGUACCCGCAGAAUAAGCUCCGGCUAACUUCGUG
Molecule: ribosomal RNA, 445 nt
Filed under: uncultured bacterium
Lineage: Bacteria
Description: bacterial SSU rRNA
Rfam family: Bacterial small subunit ribosomal RNA
Source: RNAcentral